Eleginops maclovinus (Patagonian blennie) is the source of this 450-nucleotide long non-coding RNA. RefSeq lists it as uncharacterized. NCBI's taxonomy places the organism in Eukaryota, Metazoa, Chordata, Actinopteri, Perciformes, Eleginopidae. The record is from RefSeq and is a predicted model, not a curated record. The transcript has 3 exons.
UCCAGAGACUGAACUCUGUUGUAUCCUGAAGAGAAGGACAUCAAGGUCUCUAAGCUGUCACCAUGACAAUGAUUACAAGGAGCAGCAGAGUAAGGAUGAAGAUUAGUGACAACUGAAGAGAUGAAAAUGCACCGCUUGCUUCAAGCACGAUGCGUAUCAAGCAACUCCUUGGAGAGGAUAUCCAGUGUCCACAGCGAAGCAAACGAUGGAUUAUGGGGACUAUUAUCAGGGUUUUGUACAUGGGCGCCGCAUCAAUAGAUGUCAUUGAGCAAAGCUGACAGAACAUGACCUUUACCAGAGUUCUGAGGUUACUGUUCUCCAGCAGAGGAAGUCAAAAUAGAUGAGUGGAUUAAAUGAGAGCCGACGUCCCCGGAGACUCAUUAGAAUAGGGGAGAGGAAUAAGGAGAAAGAGAGAGAAGGACCGAUCCCAGCUGGACCGACUUCCCUUCA